Rosa chinensis is the source of this 151-nucleotide long non-coding RNA. RefSeq lists it as uncharacterized. NCBI's taxonomy places the organism in Eukaryota, Viridiplantae, Streptophyta, Magnoliopsida, Rosales, Rosaceae. The record is from RefSeq and is a predicted model, not a curated record. The transcript is spliced from 3 exons.
ACAAGUACUCAAUUAGAAAGGGGAAAGGACUGCCCUGUUUCUGGCUGAAUGCAAUGAAGAACAAUGACAUGCUAUCUGAGGAGAGCAGCCAAGUGUAGACUUCAAAAAGAUUAGUGCCUCAUGUUCACCAGUUCAAGGGUAGCAGCUCCAG